This 420-nucleotide ribosomal RNA is filed under the name Enterobacteriaceae bacterium ITSI61. Its description in RNAcentral is "bacterial SSU rRNA". It matches the Rfam family "Bacterial small subunit ribosomal RNA", at positions 78 to 492 of the family's 1533-position model. The record is from RNAcentral. Lineage: Bacteria; Pseudomonadati; Pseudomonadota; Gammaproteobacteria; Enterobacterales; Enterobacteriaceae.
GCUUUCUCUCGGGUGACGAGUGGCGGACGGGUGAGUAAUGUCUGGGAAACUGCCUGAUGGAGGGGGAUAACUACUGGAAACGGUAGCUAAUACCGCAUAACGUCUCAAGACCAAAGAGGGGGACCUUCGGGCCUCUCGCCAUCAGAUCUGCCCAGAUGGGAUUAGCUAGUAGGUGGGGUAACGGCUCACCUAGGCGACGAUCCCUAGCUGGUCUGAGAGGAUGACCAGCCACACUGGAACUGAGACACGGUCCAGACUCCUACGGGAGGCAGCAGUGGGGAAUAUUGCACAAUGGGGGCAAGCCUGAUGCAGCCAUGCCGCGUGUAUGAAGAAGGCCUUCGGGUUGUAAAGUACUUUCAGCCGGAGAGGAAGGUGCAGUGGUUAAUAACCGCAGCAAUUGACGUACCCGCAGAAGAAGCC